Molecule: long non-coding RNA, 254 nt
Organism: Leptonychotes weddellii (Weddell seal)
Lineage: Eukaryota; Metazoa; Chordata; Mammalia; Carnivora; Phocidae
Source: RefSeq, a predicted model, not a curated record
GGUGGAGUACUCACAGCAGCUCCUGUUCUUUGAGCACGUUCAGCGGGCUAGGCUGUUCUGCACGGUCUCCGAAACGUUUAUUCUUCACCCUGUAAGGAGAGCUCUGUUAUUAUCCCCAGGUAUCAGCAACAUGUGUGGGAACAAAGAGCCACAGUUGAUUCAAACGUGUUCGGUUGGUAUGUCGGGAAAGCCUUCACAGGAGCUGGCGUCUGACCCAGGGGCGCCUGGGUGGCUCAGUCCUUAGGUGUCUGUCU